RNAcentral lists this ribosomal RNA (491 nucleotides) under uncultured bacterium. RNAcentral's name for it is "partial 16S ribosomal RNA". It matches the Rfam family "Bacterial small subunit ribosomal RNA", at positions 29 to 506 of the family's 1533-position model. The record is from RNAcentral.
AGUGAACGCUGGCGGUAGGCCUAACACAUGCAAGUCGAACGGCAGCACAGUAAGAGCUUGCUCUUACGGGUGGCGAGUGGCGGACGGGUGAGGAAUACAUCGGAAUCUACUUUUUCGUGGGGGAUAACGUAGGGAAACUUACGCUAAUACCGCAUACGACCUACGGGUGAAAGCAGGGGAUCUUCGGACCUUGCGCGAUUGAAUGAGCCGAUGUCGGAUUAGCUAGUUGGCGGGGUAAAGGCCCACCAAGGCGACGAUCCGUAGCUGGUCUGAGAGGAGGAUCGGCCACACUGGAACUGAGACACGGUCCAGACUCCUACGGGAGGAAGCAGUGGGAAAUAUUGGACAAUGGGCGCAAGCCUGAUCCAGCCAUACCGCGUGGGUGAAGAAGGCCUUCGGGUUGUAAAGCCCUUUUGUUGGGAAAGAAAAGCAGCAGGUUAAUACCCCGCUGUUCGGACGGUACCCAAAGAAUAAGCACCGGCUAACUUCGU